UACGUAGGGUGCAAGCGUUAAUCGGAAUUACUGGGCGUAAAGCGUGCGCAGGCGGUGAUGUAAGACAGAUGUGAAAUCCCCGGCUCAACCUGGGAACUGCAUUUGUGACUGCAUCGCUGGAGUACGGCAGAGGGGGGAUGGAAUUCCGCGUGUAGCAGUGAAAUGCGUAGAUAUGCGGAGGAACACCGAUGGCGAAGGCAAUCCCCUGGGCCUGUACUGACGCUCAUGCACGAAAGCGUGGGGAGCAAACAGG
Molecule: ribosomal RNA, 253 nt
Filed under: uncultured bacterium
Lineage: Bacteria
Description: partial 16S ribosomal RNA
Rfam family: Bacterial small subunit ribosomal RNA
Source: RNAcentral